This 1032-nucleotide ribosomal RNA is filed under the name fungal endophyte. RNAcentral describes it as "eukaryotic LSU rRNA". The stretch from base 471 to 1032 matches the Rfam family "Eukaryotic large subunit ribosomal RNA", at positions 1 to 573 of the family's 3401-position model. Lineage: Eukaryota; Fungi. The record is from RNAcentral.
CUCCCAAACCCUUAUGUGAACCUACCUAUCGUUGCUUCGGCGGACUCGCCCCAGCCGGACGCGGACUGGACCAGCGGCCGCCGGGGACCAUCAAACUCUUGUAUUAUCAGCAUCUUCUGAAUACGCCGCAAGGCAAAACAAAUAAAUUAAAACUUUCAACAACGGAUCUCUUGGCUCUGGCAUCGAUGAAGAACGCAGCGAAAUGCGAUAAGUAAUGUGAAUUGCAGAAUCCAGUGAAUCAUCGAAUCUUUGAACGCACAUUGCGCCCGCCAGCAUUCUGGCGGGCAUGCCUGUUCGAGCGUCAUUUCAACCCUCGACCUCCCUUUGGGGAAGUCGGCGUUGGGGACCGGCAGCACACCGCCGGCCCUGAAAUGGAGUGGCGGCCCGUCCGCGGCGACCUCUGCGUAGUAAACCAACUCGCACCGGAACCCCGACGUGGCCACGCCGUAAAACACCCAACUUCUGAACGUUGACCUCGAAUCAGGUAGGACUACCCGCUGAACUUAAGCAUAUCAAUAAGCGGAGGAAAAGAAACCAACAGGGAUUGCCCCAGUAACGGCGAGUGAAGCGGCAACAGCUCAAAUUUGAAAUCUGGCCCUCGGGUCCGAGUUGUAAUUUGUAGAGGAUGCUUUUGGCGAGGUGCCUUCCGAGUUCCCUGGAACGGGACGCCAUAGAGGGUGAGAGCCCCGUCUGGUCGGACACCGAGCCUCUGUAAAGCUCCUUCGACGAGUCGAGUAGUUUGGGAAUGCUGCUCAAAAUGGGAGGUAUAUGUCUUCUAAAGCUAAAUAUUGGCCAGAGACCGAUAGCGCACAAGUAGAGUGAUCGAAAGAUGAAAAGCACUUUGAAAAGAGGGUUAAAAAGUACGUGAAAUUGUUGAAAGGGAAGCGCUUAUGACCAGACUUGCGCCCGGUGAAUCAUCCAGCGUUCUCGCUGGUGCACUUUGCCGGGCACAGGCCAGCAUCAGUUUGGCGCGGGGGAAAAAGGCUUCGGGAAUGUGGCUCCCUCGGGAGUGUUAUAGCCCGCUGCGUAAUA